GUGGGGAAUAUUGCACAAUGGAGGAAACUCUGAUGCAGCAACGCCGCGUGAAGGAUGACGGCCUUCGGGUUGUAAACUUCUUUGGCAGGGGACGAAGACAGUGACGGUACCCUGAGAACAAGCCACGGCUAACUACGUGCCAGCAGCCGCGGUAAUACGUAGGUGGCAAGCGUUGUCCGGAUUUACUGGGUGUAAAGGGCGUGUAGGCGGGUCAGCAAGUCAGAUGUGAAAUCCCGAGGCUUAACUUCGGAACUGCAUCUGAAACUGCCGAUCUUGAGUACUGGAGAGGAAAGUGGAAUUCCUAGUGUAGCGGUGAAAUGCGUAGAGAUUAGGAGGAACACCAGUGGCGAAGGCGGCUUUCUGGACAGUAACUGACGCUGAGGCGCGAAAGCGUGGGGAGCAAACAGG
Molecule: ribosomal RNA, 408 nt
Filed under: uncultured rumen bacterium
Lineage: Bacteria
Description: bacterial SSU rRNA
Rfam family: Bacterial small subunit ribosomal RNA
Source: RNAcentral